AUUUUUUAAGGCAUUUGGUUGUGCUGAUGAAAAAAUAUAUAUAAAUCAGCUUCAACCAACAACAAUUUGAUCAACCAAGAACGAUAGCUCUCACUUUCCACUUACUCACUGAUCAGUACUUUAUUUUCACAGAGCCCAGUCAGCCAACAAGUUUAUUAACAAAAAAGACAAUAUACUUGGUACAAAAAGUCCCAAAAAAAAAAAAA
Molecule: unclassified non-coding RNA, 206 nt
Filed under: Hevea brasiliensis (rubber tree)
Lineage: Eukaryota; Viridiplantae; Streptophyta; Magnoliopsida; Malpighiales; Euphorbiaceae
Source: RNAcentral